This 85-nucleotide transfer RNA is filed under the name Felis catus (domestic cat). It matches the Rfam family "tRNA". Rfam says of the family: Transfer RNA (tRNA) molecules are approximately 80 nucleotides in length. Their secondary structure includes four short double-helical elements and three loops (D, anti-codon, and T loops). The record is from Rfam by way of RNAcentral. Lineage: Eukaryota; Metazoa; Chordata; Mammalia; Carnivora; Felidae.
ACCUGGGUGGCUCAGUUGGUUGAGCAUCUGACUUCAGCCCAGGUCAGGAACUCAUGGUUUGUGGGUUCGAGCCCCACGUCGGGGG